Molecule: non-coding RNA, 138 nt
Organism: Caenorhabditis elegans
Lineage: Eukaryota; Metazoa; Nematoda; Chromadorea; Rhabditida; Rhabditidae
Source: Ensembl
CUCUGUGUAUUGGUGUCUUUUUGUUUGUGGAAAUGCAUCAAGCUGAUUGCAGUGAAAAUUGAAAAGAUGUCAUAGUUAAGGAAACAGAUAGAAAUAGGAAAGAACACUCCAAACAUCCUAACUUUUUUGUAUCCUUUU